AAAACAGGGAUUAAACUGUUGAAACGGAAAACAGACUGUUUCCUCUUGUCCCUAUCUUGGAAUCUUUGUAAAAGACGGGUCCUGUCCCAAUGUGAAAUAUGCCAACGAUUCUGUAUCGCUUGAGGUUGUUUUAGAGACCAACAAGAAUAUCUCCUUCCUGGGAAAGGAAGACAAAGUAGCUAUGCAGAAGAGGACCUCAAGCUUGUGCCAUCCUCUUUUGGAGCUUCAUUUCCACAAUUCAGAGCUUGCCUUCGCUCUCCUGGGCAAAGUGAGACAAUUCGGAGAAGACAUGCAACUCGGACUGGCCGCAGAGAUCUAGAAGAAGCUAAGAUAUUUCUACCUAAUUUGUGGCAUUCCUUAAAGAAUUUGGUUUGUGUAGGUUUCAGUGCACAAAGUGUACGAGCAUGGGAGAGGAUGUAUUCAACUCCAGAGAACAGAAAAGGACAGGAGAAAACUAUCUGUUGUAGAUAUAACCCUCUUCCUAAUUUGGCUCAGCUCUUCCUCAUAUGGUGAAAUUACCAGAAAAGCCCCUUAUUUAUUCCUGAAUGCAGAAUAUCCUGAUUUCCCUCCCCUAAAGGUAAAAUGGACUAGAGUAAAAGAAAGGCUAAAGGAGUGUGUUACUUCGAGUUCACAGCUGCUUCUCUAUCCAGCUGGUAGUUUUUGAUCCUGAGUUCAAUGCCACAUCCAAGUGACUUGCAAAUGCAUGACAAUCCUUUAAUGAUGACAGGGAAAACAUGUACUGACAAUAUGGAUUAGGCGAAAGAGAGCGCUUCAUCACCCACCUAUAAAUGGCUCCUGUGGGCAGCAGCUCCUGUCUGUGCUGAAUAUAAAGUACCAGAUAGCAGAGAGGUACUCUACGGUAGGUUCCUACAAGAAAUGCCCUUGUAGGGGCAGUGGGGUAGGAGGAAACGCAUGGUCAAGAGUAAUGGGGCGUUGUAAGAAAGGACUGUGAUUGAGGGGCUGGCAUUGUCUCUCUUUGGUUGUGUCUCACGGAUUUCCAGACUGGAGCUUGCUCUUUAAGAGAACUGCCUUCAUUGUGGAUUUUCUGCACUAAAAACUGGUUAUUAAGCAAUUUUGCUCUCAGCUGCUUUGCAAACUGUUGCCAUAUUGUGUAGAAAGCGCACUCCAUACUCCUGGGUUACUUUGAAGGCACUUCUGGCAGGCUGAGGGCAGGUACAACAAGCCAGACAGGACUGAAAAAAGAUCAGGAGUCCGGAUGGACGUACAGUAACAGCUCCUCCAAAUCAGAGCUGAGGAAGUACGGGGUGAGGAGGAGGUGUCGCUGCUUGGCAUUGCCAAGGUGUAAUCUGUCUCUGUCCUAGUUGGCCAGAGUUCAGUUGCUGAUGGAUUGCUUGGCAACUUUUGCACAUUCAUAUUAACUUCAUAAAGAGCAGUGUGUACAGAGUGUGAAAUGCAAAACUGGUAGUGCCUGACACAAAUGAAUACUUUCCCUGUUCUGUGGAGGUUUCAGUGCAAAACCUCUUUCUCCAUUCAUCUUCCUCUUGCCUCUUCACCCCCCACCCCCUGCUACCUAGAGAGUCCUGUGAACAAGCCUAUUGGCAGUAAACUCAGCUCAACAAAACAAUCUUGUGAAAAGGGAAAAUAUAACAUGAUCACUUCCUAUUUCUUUCUCCUUUCCUCUGCAUCAAAGUCUGGGCUGGCUGUCAGGAAUGUUCAAAAUGAAUAAAUACAGCGCAGGAACCCCCUGCUUCAGAAGGAGUCUCAUUCACUCGCCAUGAAGCUUGGCUGAUUCUUUUUCUGACAGUACUCAAGUCAGCAGGCAGAGCAAGAAGAUCAUUCAAAGCUAAUCAGUAAAGUGUAAACCUAUUAUGAAAGCACAUUUACCCCUCGCCUCCUCCUUCCUCCAGAAAACCAAUCCCCAAAUCUGUGGGAAUAACACAUAACGUACAUAAAAGUUGCUAUUACUUAGAUCCCCUGUUAUUUAGGUCAGCAAUGCCACUGAUGAAACGCUCCCCAGAGCACUGAGCAGAGGCGCAUAAAUCCUCCAAGAAAUUCAGAGCAUAAUUUGUUACAGCUAGAGGGCAUAAGAUACAUUACAGCAGAGCCUGUGUAUUAGGCUCUCCCCUGUGACUCUGGAGGCUAUCUCUAGUAAUAAAAACCUCAUCUUGAUUUCUGAUUCUCUAUAUUGAUUUCUGCACAAAAAGACUUUUCUUACACAAAGAUAGUACUAUAUUGUUCUAUAUAAUAAUGGGAUCCUCCCACCCAUGUGCUUUUUUUUCCUUCUCUUCCCUAUUUAGGGAUGAAUCUAAGGAAGAUUUGUAAUUUGGGGACUCUUGAACUUCUGUCUUCGUAAGAAGCUGUCUUGGAUUCUGAAGUGACUGAAGCUAUGCCUGUUCCCUUCUGCAGAGAAAGUGUGUGCUCCAAGUGAGAAUUCCAAAGGACCCCUGCAAAGACAAAAAGCUUCUAUCAAAAGUUUGGCCAGCUUACAUUUAAGAUCUGCUAUUCGAUGUUUUUCCAAGCUUGGACCAGGUUCCAAAAAUCACUAACAAGUGCCAAGCAAAUUUGGUUUCAAAACAUACACCGUGGUUUUGCACGCUAUCCAAAGUAAGCGCAGAAGCCCCAUUCAGGAAAGCAAUUCACUGCCUUCCCCACAUCUGCACUGUGACUCGCACCAUGGAAAAGGAACUGGUGAAGGCCACCGGUGAGAAACUGUUCAGAAGGAAAUGAGGAGAGCAGUCUGCUUUUAAGAGGCAGUUCUACAUGCUCUAUUCUUGGGUAUGUUGCCUGAUGAUGUUGCCUUCACUAAUUUCUCGGUUUUCACAGAAGUCGAGUGUUUCCAAUCUUCAACAGCAACUAUUUUCAAGUAUGGCACAACUACUGUUAAUAACUAUUUACUUGCAUUUCACCUUAGAGUCCCAGUGUCUCUCUUCUUAAUGUUAAAGGAACCUCAGAAUAGCGAUCUCUAGUAGACUUGAUGCCACCUUCUCAAUGCUCCUUUGCUCAGAAACUAGAGGAGAACCCAUAAGGCCUGGUUUCCAGCUCAUGAUCUAGAAAAGAAAUCCGCUUCCUUAGGCGUUUUUACACUUAGCUAUCUGCUUUGCUACAGUAGUGCUCAAGAGACUGCUUGUCUUAGAAGUUACCGUCAGAGUACUAUCGUCUAGAGGUACCGGUACCAGCACUGCUAUGGAGUAGAUGAGCCAGCCAAGGUCAAGGUGAUUCUUCUGUCUGCACUUACUACCACAGUCAAGUCUGUGAACAGAUACUAUAUUACAGCAUAGAGGACAACCUACUGGAUUUUCUAACUAGAUCCUCACUGGGGAGGAGGUGGGGAAGCCUUGUUUUAUUCACAACUAUGUUUUUCAGCAGUUCCUGGCAGCAACAUGAAAAGAAAGGUGAUAUGGGAAAGAAAUCUGGGAACAUGCGAAAGGCAAUGGAAGAGUAUAUCCGUGAGCAAAGGUAUGGGUGGUGAAUGCUGAAGGCUUCCUAGGGGGCAGGGAGGACCCCUCUCUUCUCUCCUUUGGAUGUGAGGCAGUAGGGGAUGGGAUGAAUGUUCUGGCCUGAGGCAGCUCAGUGUGAGACAGACCCAGUUAUCAUUAGCCUACUGGGGCCAACCUGCUGAGGAAGGGUACCUGCAGUCAACGGAGAAAGACAGGCUCCUCUGCAGGAUGAACCUCAAUGGUGAAGGGUGAGGUUUCAUGAGAUGGCUCAUCAAAUUAACAGCUCAUUGACAAGGGAAGGGGGCAGCACCUCUGCUUCCACCCUGCUGCUGGAUGUGUGGUUCCUCCCUUCUCCUGCACAGGCUCUGGGACUCACCUGACCCUGCAGUGGACCAGUUCAGCUCUCUAAGAAGUGGAAAAUAAUCCCCUUUAUCUUUCUUCUCUUCUUCCCACCCACCUCAGAUUAAAUCUCUCCCAGCAUAAUGAAGUGAAUCAGCUAACCAAGGAGGCAGCUGAGUGCCAGAUCAUUGUAAGGGAAGCAGCAAGUGUGCGACCGGAGCAAUAUGGAUGGCAGGAUGGCCAGUGUGGUGGUGCAGAUGGGAUGGAGUCACUUAGUCAUCCUUGAACCUUUGUCCUCUGCUCGGCUCUUCCUCCAGUAACUCCUGAGGGAGCCUACAGUGAUUAGCUACCACUAACUGUGUAUUUGCUACCAGCCUAUCUUUCAAUAUCAGUACCAAAGCCAGACAAGGUAAGAACUGUCUGAACUUGUAAGAACUUGCACCCAUGAGCAAGACCAGAAGUAGGAAGUUCUUAUCUCUUAGUGAACUAGCACAGAGUAUGUCUACACACGAGUUCAGAGGUAUAAAGCUAGUGUGGACACAGUCCAGGUAGCUCUAAAGCAGCUGGCACAGAUGCUGACAGUUAUAGAGCUACAGAAUAUGCCCUAGUCAGCAAAAUACAGCCAAGGACCUGAGUAAAUAUUUGUGCAGCUACUUGUCUCAGCUCCAUACAGUUAUCAAUAAAUCAGCUCAUAUUAGUGUAUGAGCUGCAGUCAAAGCCCUGAGACUGAAGUACAGAUAUAACCUUGUAGAACAUCUCACAGAAAGAAGCUCUGUUGAUUUGCCCUUCAUGUUUUUCUCAUUUUCAUUUCUGAAGGCUGUUCUAUUAAAACAAACAGGUACUGCUCCUACCAAGAAGAGUCCAAUCACCCACCUUCAAUAACCCACAAAAGAAAGGAAUGAAAAAGAAGGGAGAAUGAUGAUAAGACUACACUCUCAUUAGACUGCCUUCUCUUCUAACCCUAUUCCUUUCUUGUUACUAAUAUUUUCUAGAUUAAGAUAUAGUCAUUACUCAUGUGGAAAAGGGUUUAUUUACAUGUAGGAAAAGGCUGUUGCUGAUGUGAAAUAUGCUGUUGUUUGAUUGCUUCUAUUGCAGGGAAAGUGGAGCUGGUUCAAACAUAGGUUUGAUAAGCCAGGUUCAGAAGGAAGAGGGUAGGUGUUGGGAAGGAGCCAACAAGAUAGUAUGACAUGGCAGGUACGAAAAGACACUUGAUCCGAGUGGGAGUCAGUGCUGGCUGGCAAGCUGUUGUGAUGAGUAACAGAGAUGCACGUUAAUAACAAAUGACAUCCUUUGAAGCUGGCCUAGCAAUGAACAGGCAAUUGCCAAAUGGGGGGCUCCUCUAGUGCAAAGUUUUGGCAAUAAUGCGCUUCAGCUCAGAUGGGUGAGGGAGAGCAUGAAAUGAAGAGCAGAGGUCGUUGUGAUAAAUGAGUCCUGAAGGAUUCAUGGCAGUCUAAUGUGGAACAUACGUAAUGCUCCUUGUUUGGGUGAAGACCAGGAGGCCUACACAUGUAAGGAAUUGAAAGCUGGCUUCUGUUCUGGGGGAGGAGGCGGCGGCGGCAAGUGUUGAGCAGCAGUGAAAAAUCUUGCCAUGUACACUUGAUCUUAAAUAAAACAUUACAGGUGAAUGUACAACUAGCCUGACUUUCCAUUCUGUUACUUUGAAAUCAAUGCAGUUGUGACAACCAAAUAUGAAUUGAACUGGGUAUGUCUCAAGAUCUUUCCAAGCAAAUUCCAGAUGGCUGGACAUGAAAACUGACCGAAGAACCAAAGAGAAAAAAGAUAACAGGAGCAGAGCUUUGAAGAACACAUGUGGCCAAAAAAGGCUCUGGUCAUCUGAAGAUGCAUGAGUAAAAGAGAAAUGGCAGAAAGAGUGUCAAGAGGGAUGGCUGCUGGGAGUGGAUGGUUCCAAACAGCUCCAGCAGAACCUGUGAAUUGUGGUAUUGCAGAGAAUUUAGGCUUCAUGAAAAUGAAAGACUCAUCAGUAGAAGGAAGGAGAAAUUCCCCAUGCGUUCCAGGAUUUGGGAUGAAUUCUUUCCCUGGAGACCACAGUAAAAGGAAUGAAUUCCUUGAGAUGCUCUGGAUUUCAGGGGGAUGCCAGAACGAACAACUGAGGUCAUAAAAAUUGGAAUGGAAAAACAGCAUGUAGAUCUGCUUCAUGAAUGUUGCUCGAAGACGGCCUUGACGAGCCCUUUCUGCAACCUGGAUUGUUUUAAUGGCUUCUUCAAAAGCCAUGGACUUGACAGGUUUCUUCAAUAGCACAGCCAAAAGUGAAUGGACAAAGCAGAAUAUUAGAGUUACGAUCUACAACUGUUUUCAAAUCCUGAUUUGCAUUCUGUAUUAAGUGUUUCUGGGUUAGCAGGUGAAAUAACCGAUUAACUCUUUGUGGAAACUUUCUAAGACAAAACAUCCUUAUUGCAAACAGGAGAGCUUUCGGUCUUAGUGCUAUCCUGAAGUAUCUUGAAAGUCUGCUAACUUGAGAAAGACUUUGCUUCUGAGGACUUUAAGGAGAAAAUGAACCUGAUGUGUUGAUGUCAUUUCUAUAGCACUGUAGUUAGGUAGAUGACAGGGCUGGGCCUAGCAAAGGGUGGAUGUGAGAUGGAGAGGAGAUAGAUGCUAUGGAUCUGAGCAGCAUCCCUGACCAGCAGGGAACUCCUGAUGCUAUAGUGGGAAACAAGAAUGGUUCUAUAUGGCUAAUGCUUCCUGCUGAACUUUAUCCGCUUGAGAAAAAAAGGCAUAAAGAACCACAAGGCUUUGUCCAAUAAAAAAGAAAAUUCCCUAGGCUAUGGAAUGUGCUCCUCUCAUUUUCCGCCUAAUUUCAGAAGGGAUAGGUUUCUGGAUGCACUGCUGGGCUCCCAGCUCUCUUGCUGAAUGAAAGGACAGGCUGUCCUGGGGGGCAGCCCAGGUCUCGUCAGCCCAGAACAGGUAGAAGAGCCUUAGGGAAAAAUAUAUCAGAGCAAUGCAGCUGAAGAGAGGGACUCUCCCUUCUCGCUCCUGAGAACUCUUGCUAUCUCCUCGUCCUCCCCAGGGAAAGGCUGAAUUACUGUCCUUUGCUGACACUAAUCCCCGUACUGCAGACAGUUCACAUUUGAUGUUUCUACAUAUGUUGCGUAGAGCUCAUCAUACUACAUUUUCAGCAGGGCUUUCUAUACCAGAAACAGAGAAGGACAAAUGAUCUGCAGAACAGACACCUCUCCUGAACUAACACUGUUUUUAAUGUACACUAGAUCGCUUGUAACAGCUCUGCCACAGACACUUAAGAACACAGCGGUCUGUUGCCAGGCAGUCAGGACUUCCUGAGUGUGUAUAUUGCCUGCUAUGAUGCAUGCAAAAGUGCUGACAACCCUCUAGCAAUCCCAGCGGUGAUAGCUGAGGAGGAAAUCAGCAGACAAACUGUAUUGAAAGGGCAGCAUAUAGGGCACUAGAUUAGUACUGUGUUCAUGUGAGAUCAUCUUAUUCACAUUUGUUGAAUCCUAUGCUUCUCUUUGGGCAUCUUGUUGAGGGAGACCUGGACCCUGCCAGAGCCCAGUGUUCCCAGGUGAGCUGGCUGCACACCAGUCUUGUCUGUAACUGAUGCCAUGCUGAAAUGGGGGGAUGAGAGCAGAACUGGGGGAAGAUGUAAAGGCUUCAAAGUGUAAUCUCCUGAAACACAGCAUCUCCACAGAACCUAACAUCAGACUACUAGGAAGCGCAGAGAAUUUACCCAGAGAUUUGCUGUGGAGGCUGAGAGGACUGUAGCUGCCCAUUAAAGUAAUCUAGCAGAGAGCAUCUGCUCUGUCUCUACAGGCUUCCUCGCUCAGACUGGUGCUGUUUUGCCUCCUGGGAACCUUCCCUCAGUUACUUAGUGGGAUUGAUACUACCAUGCAUGUAGCAGGGCAGGAGAAUUCCCCUGACAGCACAACUGCUGUGUAGAGUUCAGUGGUGGGGGUAGUGCGGCGGUUUGACUGAGUGGUCUGAUCAGAACUGUCUCUCAUGGCUAUAACAUCUAUGAAUCUAAGUUGUCCGGACACGGAGGCACAGUUGUUUAUUCCAGGAGGUUAGCAACCACUGCUGGUAGGCAGUAGGCCGUUUUCAAAAGGUCAAAAGUAUAUCAAAUUCGGAACAAUCUCAACUCCAAUGUACUUCUCUGCAAUGACUUUUGCUCUGCUAAAACUCAAUUUUCUACCCCUCCUAGCAGCUGCAGCUCUAUAGCCUACAGAAGAGACUGCAGUCAUUGUUCAGAGGUUAUAAACAAGUGAAUACUAAUAGUUAUGCUGACAUGAACUCUGAGUUUUGCCUGUUUCAAAUCCUGGUUCAGUAAAACUUGAGCCAAUUCAAUUUCAGUAGGACUAAUUACGUGAUAAGAGUCAACUAGGUAAGCGAAGCACGUAUUAAACUUGGCCAAAGUACUGUCCUUUCAAUUACACUCACAACAGAGUCAAUUCAUUUCAGUCUUGCUCAGAUUCAAGAUGUGACUGGGUAUUAGUAGACGUAAAAAAGUCAAUGUUACUUUCUAUUUGUGCCUUCUCUGUAAACAGGGUUUUAUUUUCUAACUACUGUCAAAAUACUUUUCUCUUUAGCGGCUCAUGUGCUCAAGCAGGUUUGGCUAUAAGGAAAAAAGAGUCAAGUUACUGUGUAUAUAUGUGGUACACUUACCUGUGUUUGCAAUCCAGCAUGAAAUAAAAUCUGAGUGAGGAA
Molecule: long non-coding RNA, 8411 nt
Organism: Dromaius novaehollandiae (emu)
Lineage: Eukaryota; Metazoa; Chordata; Aves; Casuariiformes; Dromaiidae
Exons: 8
Source: RefSeq, a predicted model, not a curated record